UUCCGGUUGAUCCUGCCGGACCCCACUGCUAUCGAGGUGGGACUAAGCCAUGCUAGUCGAACGAACAGAACUAUGUCUGUAAGUGGCAUACUGCUCAGUAACACGUAGCUAACCUACCCUUAGGACGUUGAUAACCCCGAGAAAUUGGGGCUAAUAGGCGAUAGGUGUGAUGUCCUGGAAUGGUAUCACGCCCAAAGGUAUCCCAUACAUGUUUGGUAUACGCCUAAGGAUGGGGCUGCGGCCGAUCAGGCAGUUGGUGAGGUAAUGGCUCACCAAACCUUUGACCGGUACGGGCCAUGAGAGUGGUAGCCCGGAGAUGGACACUGAGACAAGGGUCCAGGCCCUACGGGGCGCAGCAGGCGCGAAACCUCCUCAAUGCACUAACGUGCGAAGGGGUUACCUCGAGUGCCACCUGAAGAAGGUGGCUUUUCCUUGGUCUAAAAAGCCUCGGGAAUAAGAGGGGGGCAAGACUGGUGUCAGCCGCCGCGGUAACACCAGCCCCUCGAGUGGUGGGGAUGAUUAUUUGGCCUAAAGCGUCCGUAGCCGGCCGGGUAAGUCUCCCGUUAAAUCCAGCGUCUCAAGCGUUGGACUGCGGGAGAUACUGCCUGGCUAGAGAGUGGGAGAGGUCAGCGGUAUUCUGGGGGUAGGGGCGAAAUCCUUUGAUCCCCGGAGGACCACCAGUGGCGAAGGCUGCUGACUAGAACACGUCUGACGGUCAGGGACGAAAGCUGGGGUAGCGAACCGGAUUAGAUACCCGGGUAGUCCCAGCCGCAAACGAUGCAUGCUAGGUGUUGGGUUGGCCACGAG
RNAcentral lists this ribosomal RNA (807 nucleotides) under uncultured archaeon. RNAcentral's name for it is "bacterial SSU rRNA". It matches the Rfam family "Archaeal small subunit ribosomal RNA", at positions 1 to 789 of the family's 1478-position model. The record is from RNAcentral.